AACGAACGCUGGCGGCAUGCCUAACACAUGCAAGUCGAACGAGACCUUCGGGUCUAGUGGCGCACGGGUGCGUAACGCGUGGGAACCUGCCCUUAUGUUCGGCAUAACUCCCCGACAGGGGUGCUAAUACCGGAUAAUGUCUUCGGACCAAAGAUUUAUCGCCUUUGGAUGGGCCCGCGUUGGAUUCGCUAGUUGGUAGGGUAAAAGCCUACCAAGGCGACGAUCCAUAGCUGGUCUGAGAGGAUGAUCAGCGACACUGGGACUGAGACACGGCCCAGACUCCUACGGGAGGCAGCAGUGGGGAAUAUUGGACAAUGGGCGAAAGCCUGAUCCAGCAAUGCCGCGUGAGUGAUGAAGGCCUUAGGGUUGUAAAGCUCUUUUACCCGGGAUGAUAAUGACAGUACCGGGAGAAUAAGCUCCGGCUAACUCCGUG
RNAcentral lists this ribosomal RNA (433 nucleotides) under uncultured bacterium. RNAcentral describes it as "partial 16S ribosomal RNA". It matches the Rfam family "Bacterial small subunit ribosomal RNA", at positions 29 to 507 of the family's 1533-position model. The record is from RNAcentral.